This 253-nucleotide ribosomal RNA is filed under the name uncultured bacterium. RNAcentral describes it as "partial 16S ribosomal RNA". It matches the Rfam family "Bacterial small subunit ribosomal RNA", at positions 524 to 776 of the family's 1533-position model. The record is from RNAcentral.
GACGUAGGGCGCGAGCGUUGUCCGGAUUUAUUGGGCGUAAAGAGCUCGUAGGCGGUUUGCCGCGUCGACUGUGAAAACCCACAGCUCAACUGUGGGCUUGCAGUCGAUACGGGCAGGCUAGAGUUCGGUAGGGGAGACUGGAAUUCCUGGUGUAGCGGUGAAAUGCGCAGAUAUCAGGAGGAACACCGGUGGCGAAGGCGGGUCUCUGGGCCGAUACUGACGCUUAGGAGCGAAAGCGUGGGGAGCGAACAGG